Molecule: long non-coding RNA, 1240 nt
Filed under: Gossypium barbadense (sea-island cotton)
Lineage: Eukaryota; Viridiplantae; Streptophyta; Magnoliopsida; Malvales; Malvaceae
Description: long non-coding RNA (GBAR_LNC008675)
Source: RNAcentral
UGAUAUCCACUGUAAAUCAAGUCCGGCAACCCUGCACUUGCAACAUAACAUGUGUCUCUAGGCUGCGUGCAUAAGGGAAUAUGCAAAUUUCAACAGGAGAAAAAGAUAACAUGAGUUGUUAGUGGAAAUCAUGCAUGUUAAAAGGUAUCAUAUUACCAACAAUCCAUGCUUAAAAGAACAUGCGUUUUCUCUAAGGCAAAUCUAUAUCGGUUUGUUUACAUACCCAUCAAUACAAAACUGAAAUGGUGAUCCUAUGCAUGUUAAAAGCUUGCAUUACCAACCAUCCAUGCUUAACAAACAUGCCUUUUUCUCAAAGGGAAAUCAAUAUCAGUUUGUUUAUGUACCCAUCACUACAACAAACUCAAAAACUGUAGCGAUCAUCAUCAAGAUAAAGAAUUGUUCAAAGUUGAAUUAGAUGAUGAUACCAAACUAACAAUUUCGAAGGCAACAUUGAGAAAAAUACAAUAAAAAGGCAAAACAGGGUCAUGCAUAACCAACACAAAAAGGGAGCCUAUACCAUUACUCUUUUACCUGCCACUACCAAACAAAGUAAAACAUUCCAAUCUAAUAAGUGAUGAAACUAAACUACCAAUGCCUGUUGAAUCGAGUAGCAAGGAAAGCCCAAUGCCCCAUAAAAUAAGGUUUUAGGUUGUGUCCUGCCUUGCCUCCUAAAAUGAAGUCCUACCCGACUCGACUUUGAAUUUAGUCAUGACCCUUGUCACUUCACAAUACCAAAGGUCAAACAACCCCCCCCCCCCAAAAAAAAAAACCAAAAUAGAACACUAAACUAAAUAGCUAAAUUCCUGAAAUGAGAUUCGACCCAACUCGACUUUGAAUUUAGCUAAGACCCUUAUGACUUCAAGAUACCAAAGGUCAGUGACCCCCACUCCCAAAUAAAACACUAAACUAAACUGAUGGUAGCUAAAUUCUCGACAUAAGGUCCGACCCGACUCGAAUCCAAAUUAUACAAUUAAAAAACGUCUCUUUCUUCAUCAAAUACGCUAUACUAGUAAUCAAGAAUUAGUGGCUAAAAGAACAUAUAAAGAAAGCUUCCCUCCACAACCCAUACAUCAAAUUUUUGAGUAAAUUACAGGGAAUUUAUAAGAACCUGAGUGCAAGAUCGGCCAAAGACGCGAAGGGUGGGUCUGGUCCAAGGGAUGUGAUUGUCGAGGUAAUUGAAGAAUUCCCAGGCGACAUCAUAUGCUAAAAACCUGGGAACGUAAAUUACACUGCUUCCGUU